Molecule: ribosomal RNA, 492 nt
Filed under: uncultured bacterium
Lineage: Bacteria
Description: partial 16S ribosomal RNA
Rfam family: Bacterial small subunit ribosomal RNA
Source: RNAcentral
GAUGAACGCUAGCUACAGGCUUAACACAUGCAAGUCGAGGGGAAACGACAUCGAAAGCUUGCUUUUGAUGGGCGUCGACCGGCGCACGGGUGAGUAACGCGUAUCCAACCUGCCCAUCACUUGGGAAUAACCUUGCGAAAGUAAGACUAAUACCCAAUGAUAUCCCACGAAGGCAUCGGAAUGGGAUUAAAGAUUUAUCGGUGAUGGAUGGGGAUGCGUCUGAUUAGCUUGUUGGCGGGGUAACGGCCCACCAAGGCAACGAUCAGUAGGGGUUCUGAGAGGAAGGUCCCCGACAUUGGAACUGGGACACGGUCCAAACGCCUACGGGAGGCAGCAGUGAGGAAGAUUGGGCAAUGGGCGAGAGCCUGAACCAGCCAAGUAGCGUGCAGGAAGACGGCCCUAUGGGUUGUAAACUGCUUUUAUAAGGGAAUAAAGUGGGUCACGUGUGACUUUUUGCAUGUACCUUAUGAAUAAGGACCGGCUAAUUCCGUG